GCCGCUUUAGCUCAGUUGGUAGAGCACAUCAUCCGUAUUGAUGGGGCCAAGUGUUCGAGUCACCUAAGCGACACCA
This 76-nucleotide transfer RNA is filed under the name Mesorhizobium sp. RNAcentral's name for it is "tRNA-Thr". Lineage: Bacteria; Pseudomonadati; Pseudomonadota; Alphaproteobacteria; Hyphomicrobiales; Phyllobacteriaceae. The record is from RNAcentral.